GUCUGGUGCCAGCAGCCGCGGUAAUUCCAGCUCCAGUAGCGUAUCUUAAAGUUGUUGCAGUUAAAAAGCUCGUAGUUGGACUUCUAGAAACAAUGUCAGGCUCCAGGGAGUUCGCUCCUAAGGUGGCUCUUACAAGUUUCUUUUUUGCUGGAAUCCUAUCUACCAUUAAUUUGGUCGGAUGGUGUUUUUCUAGCUCUUUUACUUUGAGAAAAAUAGCGUGCUCAAAGCAGGCGUUUUGCCUUGUAUAUGUUAGCAUGGGAUAAUAAUAAAGACUGCGUGUUUAUGUUGUUGGUUAUGAACAUGUGGUAAUGAUCGAUGGGAACGGCUUGGGGGUCUCGGUAUUCUGUAGGGAGAGGUGAAAUUCUUGGAUCUAUGGAAGACCACCUGCUGCGAAAGCGUUGACCAAAGACGUCUCCGUCAAUCAAGAACGAGAGUUGGGGGAUCGAAGACGAUCAGAUACCGUCGUAGUCCCAACCAUAAACUAUGCCAGCUGAGGAUUGGUGAACGUUUCUAUGACUUCAUCAGCACUCCGUGGGAAACCAAAGCAUUCGGGUUCCGGGGGGAGUAUGAUCGCAAGGUUGAAACUUAAAGAAAUUGACGGGAAUUCACCUCCGGGCGAGGAGCAUGUGGCUUAAUUUGACUCAACACGGGGAAACUUAUCAGGUCCAGACACGCUUAGGACUGACAGAUUGACAGCUCUUUCUUGAUUGCGUGAAUAGUGGUGCAUGGCCGUUCUU
RNAcentral lists this ribosomal RNA (737 nucleotides) under uncultured eukaryote. RNAcentral's name for it is "bacterial SSU rRNA". It matches the Rfam family "Eukaryotic small subunit ribosomal RNA", at positions 559 to 1295 of the family's 1831-position model. The record is from RNAcentral.